RNAcentral lists this ribosomal RNA (354 nucleotides) under Microphthalmus sp. RNAcentral describes it as "partial large subunit ribosomal RNA". It matches the Rfam family "Bacterial large subunit ribosomal RNA", at positions 1955 to 2560 of the family's 2925-position model. The record is from RNAcentral. Lineage: Eukaryota; Metazoa; Annelida; Polychaeta; Phyllodocida; Hesionidae.
GGUAGCAUAAUCAUUUGUCUUUUAAAUGGGGACUUGUAUGAAUGGAUUGACGAGAAUGAAGCUGUUUCUAUUUUAUUUAUAAAAAUUAAUUUUUAAGUGAAAAAGCUUAAAUUGGGAAAAAAGACAAAAAGACCCUAUAGAGCUUUACUUGUGACUUUAAUAAGGGAAAAAGUUUAGUUGGGGCGACUACGAGAUACAAAACACUCGAUAAUAAAAAGGAAUCCUAUUAUGAUCCUAAUAAGAUUAGAAGAAAUAGUUACCUUAGGGAUAACAGGCUAAUAAUUCUUGAGAGUUCAAAUUGACAGAAGAGAUUGGCACCUCGAUGUUGGCUUAAGAUUUCCUUUUAAUGCAGAA